GCCUGUCCCAACCCUGGCCAUGGCUGACAAGGGGCCCAGGGACACUGGAGCAGAGAGACCUGCUGGUCCUUGGGGUUUCUUGCAAGCUAUUACAGGGUCUGACCUGGAGUAAAAGCUCCAUGAAUGCCGGCUGUCCUGUGGCCUCCCCGACACGUCCCCCCUGCUGGAAGGCUUUCCUCACCAUCUCCCUCAUAAACAAAGCCAAGGUCAAGGCUGCAGCCCAUGAGUGAAUCAUCUGUGAACACUUCCUGUGAACGUGUGACUAUGAUUAUGGAACACUCUGUUGCAUCAAGAUGGCCAGAGAUUGUCUCAGAGUCCAGGCAGUGGGAGGAGGGGGGAUUUGUUUCCUGGCUGGGUGGUCGUAGGGCAUCAAGGGAUGAGCAGCUUUGGUUGUCUGGGAUUUCAGCAGCUUGAGGGGAGCUGUAGGGCCCCAGAGCUGUCGCUGUGGCUGUGGUGUCAGAAAUGUAAGCAAGGUGCCUCCAUGGAGGUUAGCGAGGGUGCCCCUCUGAAUGCCGGGUGGAAUGCAACCUUUCGCAUGGAGGAGGCCCUCAGCAGCUGACCUCUGUCUUCCCUGUGUAGAGGGAGGGAGGCUGAGGCUGGGGCUGAGCGAGGGGUAAAGUAAGCCACGUGUCUCAUCAGCUAGCCUGCAGCAAGCACAGCCCUCUGGGAGGGCUGGUUCUAUCCUCCUCCUUGGUGUGAAAUCCAUCAAUCUAAUAGGGAUCCUUAUUUUCCCAGCCACCAAGUCACAAUGAGCAAUAAUCUCUUCUUGUUGGUGCAUAUAAAUUUGCUUCAUUCUUUUUUAAA
Homo sapiens (human) is the source of this 804-nucleotide long non-coding RNA. Ensembl annotates it as non-coding transcript regulating alternative splicing. Its record names the gene NTRAS. The record is from Ensembl. NCBI's taxonomy places the organism in Eukaryota, Metazoa, Chordata, Mammalia, Primates, Hominidae.